RNAcentral lists this long non-coding RNA (371 nucleotides) under Lathyrus oleraceus (garden pea). Its description in RNAcentral is "Pisum sativum (pea) long non-coding RNA (PSAT_LNC001488)". The record is from RNAcentral. Lineage: Eukaryota; Viridiplantae; Streptophyta; Magnoliopsida; Fabales; Fabaceae.
UUAGACAGCGCUUUUAGAAAGCGCUGUCUAAGACCCCCCCUUAGACAACGCUUUUAGAAAGCGCUUUUAAAUAUAGACCUUAGUCAGCGCUUUUGAGAAAGCGUUGUUUAAAGUCUUUCAAUUAAAAAACAAAUUAAAACCAAAAGCGCUGUCUAAGGUGGGGGUUUAGACAGCGCUUUUGGAAAGCGCUGUCUAAGGCUUAUCUUAGAAAGCGCUUUCCACAAAAGCGUUGUCUAAGGUCUAAUUAAAAUUAAAUUUCAGACUUCUAUUUUCGUUCUCAAUUCUUUUUGUUUUCCCUCCUGCGAUUAAACCCCUCCAGCGAACCCUAACAGCGAACGAUUUGUCCUUACCGAUUGUAUAUCCUAUGUAAG